This 253-nucleotide ribosomal RNA is filed under the name uncultured bacterium. RNAcentral's name for it is "partial 16S ribosomal RNA". It matches the Rfam family "Bacterial small subunit ribosomal RNA", at positions 524 to 776 of the family's 1533-position model. The record is from RNAcentral.
UACGUAGGAGGCAAGCGUUGUCCGGAUUUACUGGGCGUAAAGAGCGUGUAGGCGGUUGAGCAAGUCUGCUGUGAAAUCUCCAGGCUCAACUUGGAGGGGUCAGUGGAAACUGCUUAACUUGAGGACGGUAGAGGGGGGUGGAAUUCCCGGUGUAGUGGUGAAAUGCGUAGAGAUCGGGAGGAACACCAGCGGCGAAGGCGGCCCCCUGGGCCGCUCCUGACGCUGAGACGCGAAAGCGUGGGGAGCGAACAGG